CCCCUAGACGUUCUGGGCUGCACGCGCGCUACAAUAAUACGUACAACAAGUACUCCAAGCUCGAAAGGGCGAGGUAAUCACUAAAAGGUACUGUAAUGGUUAUAGACCCUUGUAAUUAUUGGUCUUCAACGAGGAAUUCCUAGUAAGUAUGUGUCAUCAUCACGCACUGAUUACGUCCCUGCCCUUUGUACACACCGCCCGUCGCUCCUACCGAUUGGGUGUUCCGAUGAAACUCUCGGACGCAAUGUAGUUUCUAUAUUGAAAAAGAGAUUUGAAUCGUAUCACUUAGAGGAAGGAGAANUCGUAACA
This 309-nucleotide ribosomal RNA is filed under the name uncultured eukaryote. RNAcentral describes it as "partial 18S ribosomal RNA". It matches the Rfam family "Eukaryotic small subunit ribosomal RNA", at positions 1470 to 1796 of the family's 1831-position model. The record is from RNAcentral.